Molecule: long non-coding RNA, 2892 nt
Organism: Humulus lupulus (European hop)
Lineage: Eukaryota; Viridiplantae; Streptophyta; Magnoliopsida; Rosales; Cannabaceae
Exons: 9
Source: RefSeq, a predicted model, not a curated record
ACCAAUACUGAAGACAAACAAAACAUAUAUAAGAGAUAGUAGCAAGGGAGACAAGGAGUGAACUAUAUAUUGAUUCUGUAUGGAGAAAUAUGACUCGAGGCAAAUCACCUCAUCACCUCAAAAUUAAUUCCCAAUAAUCAGACCAUUUUGAACUAAUACUCUGUCCUUAAUCCUUUUUCUUAGACAGAAAAGGUAGAAAGGAAAGGUGUUUGCCUUUUUUUUUAAUAAUCAAAAGCAAACAAAGGCUAGUUGUUUUUUUCUUAUUUACUAUUUUUAUCAUUUAAUUUUCUUGUAUCUUUUUUCUUCUUAUUUACUAUUUUGUUUUAGCAAGGAUAUAUAAUGGAAUUUGGAUUGGAAAAUCUGCAGGGAUCAUGAUGAGGCGACCUUUGGUCUUGCAGCUUGACAAGACAAACGAGGGAGCUUAGAAAUACGCCGAGUUUCUUCACCUUUGCAAGAGGAGAUUCACAGAUUUUGGAAUUGAUGUUCAUUUUUUAAGUUACAUAAUUAUUUUUGCCAAAACUUGAAAAGAGAGCUGGCAAUUAGGAGUCAGAAAAUCUGAGGUCAAAUUUAGGAGUUUGCAAGAACUCUCUUUUGUGUUACUGCUGCCAGAUUCAGAGGAUGCAAUUUCAUCUAGUUCUUCCUUUUAAAAAGGGGAGUCUUCCAUUUUAAAUGAGCACAUAGUUGUGCUGUUGCCUGGAGCUAUUUAUGCUCUUUCUGCUGGUUAUAAGGUAUUUGGUGAUCUAUCCUAGUGCUAGCAGGCUAUAAAUUUAUACAUCCAGUUAUCACUACAAAACUAAAACUAGAUAAUUGUUGUUGUAGACGAAAGAACUUGAGCAGGACUCGAUGCACGGGCUUUUUGAAUGCUCCAUUGAUGUACUUGUGAAUAUUGAUCAGGUUUCCUCUGUUAAUGUACUGGGGUUUUGUAUCAUUUCGUUCAAUUUUCUCUUUUGCUUUUCUUUGUGAUUUUUUUUCUUGUUUAUAUUAGAAAUUAUAUCUUUUUUCCUCAUUAGAUGAAUGUUACAUGUAUGUAUAUAUGCAUUGCUGAUUUGGGCCAUCUCAAAUUCCAUGGAUAUGUAGAAGAAGAUAAUUGUGAUCAUAUAGUCUAGUAAAGCAUGCCACCCUGUAUGCACCAGUUUUUUCUGGCUGUAUACUUGAUAUUUCUUUCUGUAUGUAAUGAAUUAGAUGCUAAUUUUUUUAGCAACAAUUAUCUGGUGGGUUAUAGUAGCAAUAUCAAUUUUUAACUUCAGAAUGUUUGAUUAAAAAAGGUAUUUUAAACAAUCACGAGAAAUUCAAGGCAGAUUGGGUACUUUGUGUAUAUUUUUUUUACCAAAUAUGUAUUAUAUUAACUUGAUGUGGAACUAGUCUUUAUGUGUGUCAUAUACUCCCAAGGAUCUCUUUGGCACUACACUACAGAUAUAUAAUACUAGAAGAACCAUAUAUUAUUUAUAUUAGAGGAUCUCUUUGGCACUACACUACAGGCCUGCAAUGACACUAAUCAUUUAUAUUAUCAUGGUUUUUAUUCCAAUCAGUAUAUUGUGCUCUGCAUUUUGUAUAAUAAAGAUAUUUUUUAUACAUUUUUUAUCUAUAAAAGUAAUGCAUGAUAAGAACCAUGAUAAGUUUUAGUUAAUUUAACCAUGUAUAUUUUAAGAAUCAUUUCAUAGUAAUAUCAUAGAACUUAGAUAAUUCAGCCUUCUUUUGGACAGUCCAACCUCUCAUUAUUACUUCUUGAGUAAGAUUUUUUAUUUUUGGUUUCUGUACAGUUUUCCAAUUUGUGGAUUUUGUUUUUUAGAUUUUUUAUUAGUCUUAUGACUUCCAACACUUUGGUUUUGAGGGUACUGCAAGAGUACUGAUAGAGUGGCUAUUAAGCAUGUGAACAAUUGAAUAGUAAUUAGUACUAGACCUUAUAUGCCUAAAUUAGUAUUGCACAUAACGUUCUGCAUACAAGAAACAGAUGGCAGAAAAUGAAAUAGAUUUUCUUUUGCUUGUGGCUGCAACUAAAGUUGAAUGAUUAAGCAUAAAGUAUGAUUGAGUUCUUCUAUAUCAUAUAUAGACCUUUUCUUCAAAAAUCAUAAACUUGACACUAAAGCCAAGAGUUUAGAACACAAACAGGAAACAGAAAUUUAAGACAUACCAGAAACCGUCUCCUCAAAAUUUCAUACUAACAUUAACUUCUUUAAUUUUUCCCCUGCUGUAAGUGUUUUACAUUAGAUUGUGUUGUUUCAUUGGUUCACAUUCUCUCUGUUCUUGUUGUUUCUCCUAAUCUUGCUUGCUGUUUUGAACUUGUGUAUAUUCUUAGUUUGUUAAUUUUCACUAUCUUUAUAAGAAAUUUAACCAAAAGAUCUUAGUUAAACUAGAUUUUUUAUAUUUAGAUUUGAUUUAUACAUGUCUCUAAUGUUUUUUGCAGCCACAUGUUGACUUUGGAUUAAAAGUACUUGGUGCAAAUGCUAUGUCCAUUCCUGGCCUAUAUGGGUUUGUCCAGGAAAUGAUUAAAGAUCAAGUUGCAAACAUGUAUUUAUGGCUUAAAUCUCUAGAAGUACAAAGUAUGGAUCCAACAAAGUAACGAUCUGAGCCCAAGGUAAGGCAUCUAGGACACUUAGCUGGUGGUGCUUUAACCAAUGCAUUGGGUGCUGGAAUAAAAUGGUAAGGAUGGUGGUUGAUGAGAGCUCAGGAGGAUUUGGUUUCACAGGGAAGAAUGAGAUUAUAAAUGGGAAGGCAGCUGUAAUUGGGUUCUUGCUGUUGUUGGAUUUUGAGCUAUUGACUAGUAAAGGACUUGGCAUUUGGUUUAUCACUUUCAGCACUGCUUGGGGAUAAUAUCUACAACUUUGGCGAGCUGCUGGCACAUCCUAUUGAAAUCAAAUCCUUGUUUCCUGCCGAUUGCAGUCCAUUCUAAGC